GUUUCUGUAGUGUAGUGGUUAUCACGUUCGCCUCACACGCGAAAGGUCCCCGGUUCGAAACCGGGCAGAGAACA
Falco peregrinus (peregrine falcon) is the source of this 74-nucleotide non-coding RNA. The record is from the annotation of a RefSeq genome assembly. NCBI's taxonomy places the organism in Eukaryota, Metazoa, Chordata, Aves, Falconiformes, Falconidae.